RNAcentral lists this long non-coding RNA (9096 nucleotides) under Medicago truncatula (barrel medic). RNAcentral describes it as "long non-coding RNA (MTRU_LNC006579)". Lineage: Eukaryota; Viridiplantae; Streptophyta; Magnoliopsida; Fabales; Fabaceae. The record is from RNAcentral.
CCGUCAAACAGUCUCACAAAUGCUUAUGUUAAUAAAUAAACUCAAAUAAGAUAAUCCAAAUAGGCCCUAAGUUCAUAUAUCCCUAGGUGAAGAAACAUGAUCAACAAUGACUAACAGAAGCAGAAAAUUGUAAACUAGAUAAUGUAAAUGUUCUGUAGAAGUUUCAUCUCAUAAAAAAGUGCUUACGGGCAGCAAAACUCCUCAGGCACUGACCGAAUGAUUCCUACAGAUUUUUUCAUGUUUCCUGCGGAUGUACCUUUUCUGCAUAUUCUAAAAUCCUAAUGAAACAAUUACUCAAGAAGGCAUUACCUAGGAACCUAAAUCUUUGGCAAAAUCCGCAGGAAAAUCGAGAGUUUGUAGUAGUGGUGAAUGUGCAUAAUUACGCAUCUAGUAAACUUUGACAUCUUAUCAUCAUUUUUUUAAUCAAGUAACUCUUGCCAUUAAUAUUUUUACUUUGAUACAUUGUACUCGGUGGUGGAUUAAGAAUAAAAUCUCGGAUGGGCUAGCAAAAUAAAAUAUAAUAUAUAAAUUAAAUACGCAAAUCAUAUUGUAUACAACAAAUUUACUAAAAAUAUUGUCGACUAAUUUGUUCUUUUUUUUUCUUCAGGAAUUGAUGUUGUAAGUGAGGAAGUCGUUUGAUACAAGAUGAUUGUAUGAUUCUAACUAUGUUAGAUAUUUUAGGUUCAUUUAGUAUAACAUUUUCAUUAAGCAACCGUGAAUUUUGAGUUGAGAACAUAAACAGAAAGAAGAAUCAUAAUCGCAUUUUGAGAAAAGCAAAAAUGAACGGAACAUCAAAAAAAAAAUGAAUUACUCUGGUUAGAUUUUCAAUGUAGACUUUAUACUUCGAAAAAAAAAUGAAUUACAUAUUUCACAACUUCCAUAUAUUAUGAAAUUGUAAAAUAUUAGAAGAGAGAUCUUUUAACAAUACAAUUAUUGAUAGGGGAAAAAAAAUUGUUGCAGAAAUUUAGUUUGAAUACUUCUCCCUAAUUAAUAUAAGAAAUGAUAGAGAUAUCAUAUAAAUGCAUACAAGAAAUAAUUAAAGGGACAAAAAUGGAAGAUGUGAGAGAUAUAUCAAGACAAAAGAAAUACAUAUAUCUGAGCAAGGAGGAAGAUUGAGGAACGUUCAUGAUUAUCAAAUAUAAGAAAUUAUAGUGUCAAACACAUAAUUUGGCACAUUAUCAAAAAGAUUAACUUAAGCCAUAACCACUUUAAAAGUCAUAAUAGAUAAGAAGAUUUGAAAAGGAGAUAAAGCAUUACGAAGAAUCAUUCUCUUGGUAAAUAACUUCAGCUUGUUCCGAUGCUCUCUUGAACUGAAUAAUUUUUGUCAUCAACUCGGGUGUGACGUUUAUUUCAAGCUUCACCGUCAUCUUUUCUAGCAUGGGAGAAUACAUAAGUAGAAAUCUGAUAAAAUCUAAUUCAGAUGUAUUGUCAGAGAUUCCUUUUAUGCUCACAUGGCGCACUCGGAGGGGCACGGGUGGCUCCAAAAAGACAUCUUUCCAACAAUAGGAGGCGGGUGUUAAAAGGUCAGUAUGUUUCUCAAGCUUUGCCUACAUUCGAUUUUUACAAAUUUAAAGAUCAAACGGCGGAUUAUUGUAAUGAAUGAGAGACAUAUAGAAUAUUAAAAUUCUAAAGGUAACAUUGUAUAGAUUGAUUAAAACAGAAAAUGUGGUACAAGAGUCUCUUGUUUAUAUGACUCUACUGCACUAAUAAUGAAACUAAAUCUAUCUAAACUGCAACUGAUAUAUGACUUCUCUUCACAUCUUCAAAAUUCCAAGACUCUAGAUAAAUAAUUUAAGCAAAAAUAGUUUGCAAAUUCUAGAUAUUAAUAACUUUACAUAAAAACAAAAAUAAGACGUGCAAGCGCAAUCACAAAUUUGAAAGAAUAGAAAAAUCAAGCCGAACAAUACGAGUACUUACAGCUAUUUCCAAUCUUCGAAGAUUAGGUGAGCUUCUAAGCAAGCAAAGAGCAGCCAAAAUUUGUUUCAAGUCAUUGAACCUUAUGCAUAUGAAAAGAGAACUUAAAUUGAUACAAGGUGUCGGAAGUUUUACCGGCACAUCACCUGCAUCCAAAUACUGAAGCACAAUAGAAGAAUGACUCUAAAUCAGAUUGUGGAUCAUUUUUAAUUUGUAAGGGAGUGAGGUAAACUAAAGAGCAAAAACAAUUUUUACCUUUAAAAAUUGGCUGCUAAUGACAAGGCUCUCUAUGUGAGGUAGAUGAGCGAAGAAUCUUAGCAAAUUACUUGAGCAUCCACGCAAUUGACUAUGAUUGCUUCGAGAGUCAAAAGAAAAUAAACCUAACUCAGUUAAUUGGAAAGUGUUGUCAAAGCUAAAAUCCACAAAAUCACCAACGAUGAGAAAUUUCUUCAGAUUUGGUGCAUGGAUAUUAAGUUGGGUUAAACCUUCAAGAUAUAACAAUUUCAAAUCUUCUAGCAGGUGGCAGCCGGAUAUCAAGUUUUCAAAAGCAUCUUGAGCCAUUGUAACCUGAUAUAGUUCAAGACUUUUCAAGUUCUUGAAGCCUUUAAACGUUGUUGGAGGUUGAAUACAACAACAGUCUAAUUUUAAAUUCUGUAAACUUUGACAUGAGAACAAGCAUUGGGGUAUCUUAUAGUACUUCUUCGCUACAAAGAUUUGCAACACGAACUCUUUAAUAGACUUUUCUGUUAGACGAAGAAUCCACCGAUCAAUAUCAGCCACAGAGUUAACAUCACUGAGAUCACAACCGGGGUCGGAGAGCUGGAACUUGUUGAUCGGUCCAGAAUGAAGUAGAAGUACAUGAUCAACAAUUCUCAACAGCUUGCUCAUAAAAAUUGAAGGAUCUUUGAUAGCUUCAAUAUUAGAGACACAAUUUAAAUCAAACACAAUAUUUGGUAGUGUGUGCCAUUUAUUCCUCCAUUCACUGGACAAAACACUUGUUUUCACUGCUUCCCUAAUUGGCAAGUAUGAGAGAAUCUGAUCUAUUACAUGACCUGGUAAGCAACUAAUUCUAUCCGGCUCCACGCCAAUCACCGUUCUGCGAAUAGUGUUUGCUAUUUUUCUCCCCUUCAGAUGGACAUAAUUCAUAUUCAAAACAAGGAUCAGAAAACAUACUAUGUUAGUGUAUUUGUAUGUAUCUAUAUAUGUAUAAUAUAUACAAGAAUUUUCCUCUAAAAAAAAUUGUAUACUUGAAUUUUAGCUAGGUCCACCGAGAGAGAGAACCUUGAAACUCAAUGCAACAAUCUCAAUAAAUCUAUAACAAUCUCAAUUAUCGUUUUUAAACAUUUGACCAUGCAUAUAAACACUUUUUAACUGGGUAUAUAUUUUUCUAACUAAAUUGAUCAAUUUGACCUUAAUCAUAUUACAAGGUUGGUCUUAGUAUAGUGUCAUAAUUUGGCAUGAGCACAAUAUAAUGUUGUGUGAUAAUAUAUUACCAUUGGCAGUAUAAUGAAAUUCACUGAUGGAAUGAAUAUUAUAUGCACAGAAUAAGGCUUUGAGAAAUUACCAUUGUCAAGGUACCGAUUGAGUAGUUCCAGAAAAAAGAACGUAAUAACAACCUUGUGAAAGUGAUUGCUACAACAAACAAAAAACCAGUAAUCAAUUAGAGAAAAAAAAUUUAGUGAGUAAAAUAUAAAUAAAAAAUAAAAUCGAAUGACUAACCAGUAACCACAAUGAAUCCUUCAAAAAAAUAAAUAACGUAACCACUGUGAAAGGAUGAAAAGACUGAGGAUCUGGUAAAGAAAGAAACUACUGUGGAAAGGUUGGUUCCAAUUGUUUUAGGGUUUAUAAUUUUUUAGACCUAGUCGGUUGGGAAUCAAAAGGAUUUAAACACAGGGUUUAGUUAGGGUUGGGAAUAACACAAAGUGCCCAGUCUAUUAUUUAAAAUGAUAAGGAUUAAAAAAAAAUGGAUUAAAUAUGUUUUUAGUCGUUUAAAUAUACUAAAAUUUUGUUUUAACCCCUCUACAAAUUUCUUCUUCGAUUUUUGGUCCUCUAAAUAUUUUGUUUUCAAUUUUUGUAGUGGAGAAGUAGUGGAGAAGACGAUUCUUUUCUUGGGAGGAGGAACAAUUGAAUCAGUGUGUUAUUCUUUUAGUUAACAUUUUUUUUUGUAGGAUAAUGUUGUUGACAAAUGGGACUCGUACCAUAACUCUUAUGAGGGGCAUACAAUUAAAGAAGCUUAUCAGAUCAUCAUCCAAUCUGAGCAGUCUCACGAUGACAUCCAUUUAAGAUUAACCUGGAACAAAGGUGUACAUCUUAAAGUGUCGUUAUUCGCUUGGAGAUUAUUUUAGAAAAUGUUUCUAACAAAGAACAAUUUAUUUUGUCGUUGUGUGUUAAAUGGAGGAUGAUCGUUAUGUUCUGGAGGGCGUGGUAAAGAAGAAUCUAUUAAUCAUCUUUUUAUGGGUUGUAAUUUCUACGACAAUAUUUGGUAUUUUCUUCUCAGCUAGUUGGGAAUUUCAACAGCUCACCUUAAUGACAUUCGGGAGCGUGUUUUACAAUUUGUUGGAUGCAUAUGUUCAGGAAGGAUAUCAGGUUUUGUCUUCGGGUUGACUCGCUUGCAUUUGGAUUAUUUAGAAAGCGCAAUAUGACUGUAUUUUUAACAACAGAUAGUUUUUUUUAGGGAAACAAAUAGUUAUUGAUGGACCAGUUAUUAGAUUGAAAUAAGCUCCAUUCUUGGUAGUGGUUGAAGACGCACCAACCAAAUUUCUUCUUCGACUUGUAAUUUUCUUUCCAUUUUGUUGGCUACUUUCUUUAGUCUGACUGUAUUGUGUACUUUUUUCUUAUCCCUUCUAGACGCACCUUGUGCUUUGAAGGGAUGUUGUUGAUCUAUUCUGUCUUUGGCCUUUUAAAAAAAAAAAGUAUAUCUAUAACUUAUGGUCUUAUCAACAAUAUAUGUCAUAAAAAAAAAAAAAAAAAAAAAAAAAAAAAAAAAGUCGUUGAGAUAUCAAAAAAUCAUAUUUUUCUCUUCGCAUCAUUUUAAUGUUAUUUGAUCAUUUUGACUUAGAACUACAUCAAAUGAAUAUGAAAACUCUAGUUUUGAAUGAAGAUCUAGAUGAAGAGGUUUACAUGGAACAACUGGAAUACUUUUCUUCUGGUGGUGAGGAGCAUUUGUUAUGGAAGCUUAAGAAAUUUAUAUAUGGACUCCAAACAAGCUUUCACAAUGUCAUGUCUUUUUUUGGAUUCAUAGAAAACAUUAUGGAUCAAUUUUAUAUACUAGAAGGUCAUAGGACUAAAAUUUGUUUCUUUAUUUUGUAUGUGAAUGACAGUUUACUUGCUAGAAUUGAUGAAUGUUUUCUAUACGUGGUGAAAAAAUUUCUCUGCAAUAGUUUUGAUAUGAAAGGUGUGGAUCACACUUAUUAUUUGUGCUUAAAAAAGUGAUCUCUUGCUCCCUACGUAUCUGCAGAUGUUAUGGAUAAUUCAAAAUAGCACACCUUUCCAAUACAAAAUAUCUACUUAUUGGUGUAUUUUAAAUUAUGAUUCAGUUUUUGAGAUUUGCCUAAUGACCAAAACAAAAAUAGACCUAACACGGUUAUUAGUUAUUACUCAUAUUUUUUAGUUUGUAUUUAAAAAAUAUAUAUCAAUGACCAAAAGAAAAGAGAACUCGUUUUAGUCAUUGGCAUUGGAAUUUGCAUAGUGAUUGAACCAAAAUUCGAUUUAACAUAGUCACUUCAUGUACACCAUUUAUUAAAUUCAUAUUUCUAUUGAAACUUUGUGAUAACCAAACGAAAAAUAUGAUUUGUAUGUAGUAGUCAUCGGUCGUUUAAAUAUAGUUGUAUGGUGACCUGACUAAAAGUGGGUACACAGACCACAGUAAUCAAAACUAUGUAAGAUUUGGAUUUUUUUUUAUUAAAUAUUUGUGUAACCAAAUCAAAAGAAGUUUUUUUUAAUAAACACAAAAAAGAAUUUAGAGUAUCAUUAAAUUCCUUGCUCGAGUACCAUUACUAACAAUGUCUGAACCAAUUGAUUAUAUUGGAUCUUAUGAUAGAGCCCACAAACCACAUUCUUUUUUCAUCUUUUUCUCUUCCUAAAAGUAAAAUUGGCAUGCACUCAGAAUUAGCAAAUCAAAAUGUAUGAUUGAUUAUUGACAAAUUUUUGUAAAAUAUCUUCUUCUUUUUUUAAAUUUUAUGAUUUUUAAACCUUCUUUGUUCUUGAUAAUUUAAUUUUAAGGACGCAAACAUGUUAAAAAAUUUAAUAGACACACAAACAUGUCCCUUUUUUGUAAUUAUGAUGAUGAAAAACAAAAUUAAUAAUUUAUUAAGGAUGAAAAACUUAUUUAAUCCUUUAUUUAAAUAUUAAUAGAAUGGCCUGACCAUAUAUAUAUAAUGGGAUGAGAUUGUGAUGUUACAUAUCAAGGUUAUCUUAAUCCCUUUUUCCAAUGGAUAUUUGCCCCCAAUAAUCAUAUGUUAAAUGUCACAUAAAAUUUACAAAUGAUUCAAAUAUAAGUUAACAUUCCCUUUCAUUGAAAUUCCUCCUCUCCCACCCUCUCUAUAAAAUUCAUAUUAUUUUCUGAAUCACAUAAGUCACAAUAAAUUGGCAAGGAAGAAUCACAUAAAUAAACUUAAGCUUUUGAACAAUGAUCUUAUAUGUUCCUUUCUUGAAAUUACAUUGAAAUAAUAAUGGUUUCAAUCCAACCGGCGCAGUAGGUACUCAACCUGAACCUCCUUAGUAAGAGGUAUUACCCAUUUCUCAUACAACUUAGAAGCCACUGAUGGAUCAAACUUUUGUUUACCUUUACUGUCAUCACUGCUGUUAAGGCUUAUAUCCUGCCCAAACAAUGUUGCCUUCUUUUCAACCCUUUUCUUUACCAUCUCUUCAACACUCUUAAAUGUCAACAAUUUCAUCAACCCUUCUUUGUCCUACAAUUAAAAAGAAUGUAUCAUUUUAGGUGGAAAUCUAUGUGCCAAUGUCUCGCAUUUAAUGAGAUAAGGUCAAAAAUUAAAUUUAUAAUUUCAUUCUACAAGCCGGUUUAAAAUUAUAUCAAAGUCUAGUUAAGAUAUAUUAGACCAUCUGCGACCACUAUCAAGCCACUUAGACCACGCUCCUGAUGUUCAAUUUUGGUCGUGUGAUAAGGGUGUGUGUUAGAGGGCUAGAACAACAUUGCUGGAAAUUUAAGAAACAAUGCAAUAAAACAAUAAAGAUAAAUAAACUAAAUAAAAUAAAAUAACUUUUGAUUCAUUUCAUUGAUUUGGAUAGUGUGUCAAAGACACUAUAUAUAGGAAGGAUGGUAACCCUAAUGGGCUUAAGACUAAAGACCUAACUUAAGGCCCAACUAGCAACAACUCAAAAGAAGGACAAACUAAUAUAAUUUUACUCUUAAACUAAAUAGCUAAAUUAUUCAUUUAAGUCUAAUAUAACUCUCUAACAGUGUGUCAAGAAUUUAGUUUAUGAAAUUGAAGUCUUGUAAUUUGGAUAUCUCAAAAACCAUUUUGAAAUUUCAUUAAUUUCAGGAAUCAAAUUGUCCAACACCUAUAGUUUCAAUGACUAAACCAUUCACUUACUUGAAUAAGAAGAUUUAGUAGAACUUACAAAGUAAUCAUGGAAUGCAAAAGGAUAAUCUCAUGUUCAAAUUUUAUGACACUAAACUUAUGAAGAUAUAAGAAUGAUGAUGGAGCUAAAAUGCCAACACUCGGUAAUCUGAGACCAAUUUAUACCUUAGACCGAAUUAAAGGCUCAUAGUCUUGAGGAGAUUCCCUGAAUUUCACUUCAGCUACAAACUUUCCAUAAUGAACUCUUUUAGAAAUGGCCUGCAGAUAUCUUGUAAAAUGGAAAAUCAGAAUCAAAACUAGGCUCUAUUUGGAUAAGCAGUUUAAUUAAGCACUUUUAGCAUAAGCGUUUGUAAUAUAAAUGCUUAUGUAUAAUGAAUUUCUAUAACAAAAGGUAAAAUAAAAUGUAAGUUGUUUUCGUAAGUUAUCCUAGCGAGCUUAUGAAAUAAGCUGAAAACAACUUAUAAACAUGUCAUAAGUUGUUUCUGGAGUGCUUAUCCUAGAGAGCUUAUGGUAUUUGAGACUGCUAUUUUGAUGAAAAUUGAACUGAUUGUUAAUCAUAUGCAUUGCUCUACAUAUAUUUAUCCAUAAAUAUAUUCCUAAAAUAGCAUUUUUCAGAGAAAACUUUACCUGCAACAAUGAGAGGUCGCUAGCUGCAGUUUGUGCAUAGUUGCCAUCAUCACCGGAAGCAACGAACAAUGGAAGCAGGUCAUGAAAGUACAUUUUCCAUAAGGACUUGUUUAUGUUAAUCGAAGCGGCUCCAGGAUGCAAAAACUACAAAUGGAAUUGAUUUUAAAAUAAGUCAUUUUUAUUCUAAGUUGUAUUAACUGUGGAAAUUGAAAAAUCAUAUCAGUUUUGAUGAAUUACCUUUGUGAAGGGGUAAGAUGGAACAAGUGACAAUGAUAAAUUUUCUGGAAAGAAGGGAUUCUCUUCAGGGUUUUUGUAUCUUCCAGCCUGUAAUAUAAUCACGUUAUUUUACACACAAAUAUUCUUUUAAAUGCAAUAACAUAAUACUUAGCAACCACUCAAGCAUUAAAAGAGAUUUAUAAUAAACAACUUAAUCAAGUGCUUAUAACAUAAGCAUUUAUCAUAUAAGCUCUAAUGUAUAAGCUAUUUAUAUAACAAAGGAUCAAGUAAAGUCAAAUUGAAUUCAUAUAAGCUAUAGGGUGUUUUUAUAAGCUAUUCUAGAGAACUUAUGAAAAUAAGCUGAGAACAACUUAUGGACAUGUCAUAAGUAGUUUGUAUAAAUUCUCUCAAAUAGUGUCACAAGUGCUUAUGUCGGUAAAUAAACUCAAAUAAUACAAUCCAAUAGGCCCUAAGUUCAUAUAUCCCUAGGUGAAGAAACUUGAUCAACAAUGAUUAACAGAAGCAGAAAAUUAUAAACUAGAUAAUGCAGAAGUUCUGUAGAAAUUUCAUGCCAUAAAAAAGUACAGUAUAAAUGUAUCACUCGUUCUCAACACCUAACAUUCAGAACUAUUUAUGGAUUUUGCAAUGACUUAACAUACUAACUUAUGCUAGAUUGACAGAGAAAUUAUCAGCCAACAUAUUUAAGACCUGCUUGGUUUUUAAUAAACAAAUGUUAGUAGAUUAAUGAUUGUGUUAGUUUUCAGGGUUCAACUCUUAUGCGUCCCUUAGCUCACCAACC